GGUGCUUGCACCUGAUUGACGAUGGAUCACCAGUGAGUGGCGGACGGGUGAGUAACACGUAGGUAACCUGCCCCGGAGCGGGGGAUAACAUUUGGAAACAGAUGCUAAUACCGCAUAACAACAAAAGCCACAUGGCUUUUGUUUGAAAGAUGGCUUUGGCUAUCACUCUGGGAUGGACCUGCGGUGCAUUAGCUAGUUGGUAAGGUAACGGCUUACCAAGGCGAUGAUGCAUAGCCGAGUUGAGAGACUGAUCGGCCACAAUGGAACUGAGACACGGUCCAUACUCCUACGGGAGGCAGCAGUAGGGAAUCUUCCACAAUGGGCGCAAGCCUGAUGGAGCAACACCGCGUGAGUGAAGAAGGGUUUCGGCUCGUAAAGCUCUGUUGUUGGAGAAGAACGUGCGUGAGAGUAACUGUUCACGCAGUGACGGUAUCCAACCAGAAAGUCACGGCUAACUACGUGCCAGCAGCCGCGGUAAUACGUAGGUGGCAAGCGUUAUCCGGAUUUAUUGGGCGUAAAGCGAGCGCAGGCGGUUGCUUAGGUCUGAUGUGAAAGCCUUCGGCUUAACCGAAGAAGUGCAUCGGAAACCGGGCGACUU
RNAcentral lists this ribosomal RNA (598 nucleotides) under Lactobacillus sp. B-5. Its description in RNAcentral is "bacterial SSU rRNA". It matches the Rfam family "Bacterial small subunit ribosomal RNA", at positions 75 to 643 of the family's 1533-position model. The record is from RNAcentral. Lineage: Bacteria; Bacillati; Bacillota; Bacilli; Lactobacillales; Lactobacillaceae.